GACGAACGCUGGCGGCGUGCUUAACACAUGCAAGUCGUACGGUAAGGCCCUUUCGGGGGUACACGAGUGGCGAACGGGUGAGUAACACGUGAGUAACCUGCCCACAACUUUGGGAUAACGCUAGGAAACUGGUGCUAAUACUGGAUAUGUGCUCCUGCUGCAUGGUGGGGGUUGGAAAGCUCCGGCGGUUGUGGAUGGACUCGCGGCCUAUCAGCUUGUUGGUGGGGUAGUGGCCUACCAAGGCGGCGACGGGUAGCCGGCCUGAGAGGGUGACCGGCCACAUUGGGACUGAGAUACGGCCCAGACUCCUACGGGAGGCAGCAGUGGGGAAUAUUGCACAAUGGGCGCAAGCCUGAAGCAGCAACGCCGCGUGCGGGAUGACGGCCUUCGGGUUGUAAACCGCUUUCAGCAGGGACGAAGCUUUUUGUGACGGUACCUGCAGAAGAAGCACCGGCUAACUACGUG
Molecule: ribosomal RNA, 465 nt
Filed under: uncultured bacterium
Lineage: Bacteria
Description: partial 16S ribosomal RNA
Rfam family: Bacterial small subunit ribosomal RNA
Source: RNAcentral